RNAcentral lists this ribosomal RNA (745 nucleotides) under uncultured bacterium. Its description in RNAcentral is "bacterial SSU rRNA". It matches the Rfam family "Bacterial small subunit ribosomal RNA", at positions 33 to 798 of the family's 1533-position model. The record is from RNAcentral.
ACGCUGGCGGCGUGCAUUAUGCAUGCAAGUCGAACGGUCUUGGUCUUCGGACCAAGAUAGUGGCAAACGGGUGAGUAACACGUAGGUAACCUGCCCCUAAGUGUGGAAUAACUUCGGGAAACCGGAGCUAAUACCGCAUGUGGUGGUGGUGGUAAGGCGCCAUCACUAAAGCCUCCGGGCGCUUGGGGAGGGGCCUGCGUCCGAUUAGCUUGUUGGUGGGGUAAUGGCCUACCAAGGCGACGAUCGGUAGCUGGUCUGAGAGGAUGGUCAGCCACACUGGGACUGAGAUACGGCCCAGACUCCUACGGGAGGCAGCAGCAAGGAAUUUUGUGCAAUGGGCGAAAGCCUGACACAGCAACGCCGCGUGGGGGAUGAAGGCCCUCGGGUUGUAAACCCCUUUUCUCAGGGAAGAAUAAUGACGGUACCUGAGGAAUAAGCCUCGGCUAACUACGUGCCAGCAGCCGCGGUAAUACGUAGGAGGCAAGCGUUAUCCGGAUUUAUUGGGCGUAAAGCGGGCGCAGGCGGCCCUUCAAGUCGGAUGUGAAAUCUCCCGGCUCAACCGGGAGGGGUCAUCCGAUACUGCUGGGCUAGAGGGCAGCAGGGGGAGGUGGAAUUCCCGGUGUAGUGGUGAUAUGCGUAGAUAUCGGGAGGAACACCAGUGGCGAAGGCGGCCUCCCAGGCUGUUUCUGACGCUGAGGCCCUAAAGUGUGGGUAGCGAACAGGAUUAGAUACCCUGGUAGUCCAC